UACAGCCAUAUCAUGGUCAAACACUGGGUCUUGUAUGAUCAUCAAAGUUAAGCAAUGUCAAGCCUGAUCAUUACCUGGAUUGGUGACCGCUUGGGAAUACCAGGUGCUAUA
Acanthosepion pharaonis is the source of this 111-nucleotide non-coding RNA. NCBI's taxonomy places the organism in Eukaryota, Metazoa, Mollusca, Cephalopoda, Sepiida, Sepiidae. The record is from the annotation of a GenBank genome assembly.